CUCAUGGACAGCGGAGGCUAAAAGUGUUGAGCAUUCAAAUCAAAUCAGAUCAUUUUAAUUCAAGUAAAACAGUUACAGACGUUCCAAUAGCUGACCAACAUAAAAAAAAUCCAGGCUGUAUGUUUGAAGUUGGUUGAUGGGAGAAGACAGGACAGGACCCUCUGCACUAGUUAAUCUUUCAGACUCAUAAUGUCUGUGACGUAACUCGGGAAGGCCACAGUGCAACGACGCUACCGCCGCUGAAUAAAAGCGAUCAGAAUGAACCUGGCUGCAGAUCUCAUCACUUCUCCUCCCGUCUGAGACCGGCACAGAAUAAAAAUGAAGGAAUUUUCAUCUAAUUCGAGAGACAAAGGUAUCGAAGGAGUUUCUUAUAGGCAGAGACAAGGCAGUUCCGAUUGGAGAAGCGAGCCGUCCGUAGCCAUGAAUUCAUUUCCCGAAGCCCAGACGGUUCCAGACUACAGAGAACCGGAACCUCCACUCAAACACGCAAACAAAUACCACAACAGCAUGAAGACGCUGAUUCCCCUCCGCUUCAGCUCAGGGUCUCACCCCAUGGAUGAUGCAGGAUUCUUCUCCUUCAGCUCGUUUGUAUGGAUGACGCCCAUGAUGUGGAAGCUGUUCAGGAACCGCCUGGAUAAAAGCUCGCUCAACCUGUCUCCUCACGACGGAUCACACACGAGCGGAGAAAGGUUCCGAAAGAUGUGGGAAGAAGAGGUGGCGCGCGUUGGCAUCGAGAAAGCCUCUCUGUUUUCAGUAGUGAUGCGAUUUCAGAGAACGAGAUUCAUGGUGUCUGUUUUGCUCUCCAUGCUCUUCAUUUUUGCAGUCUUUAUUGGACCGUCAAUUGUGAUGAACCAGAUCCUGCUGUACGCAGCAGAGCCUGAAGCGUCCACCCUGGUGCACGGCGUCGGCCUGUGUGCGGCUCUGUUCGUCACGGAGUUUUCCAAGGCGUUCUUCGCGUCGUUGCUCUGGGCCGUGAACCUGCGCACCGCCAUCCGAUUGAAAGGAGCCUUCAGCGUGCUCGCCUUCCAAAAAAUCAUCUCACUCCGAGCGCUCAGCAGCGUCACCGUAGGAGAGCUGGUCAACCUUUUGACGGCUGACGGCUAUCGCAUGUUCGAAGCGGUGCUUUAUGGCGCCUUCAUGCUUUGCAUCCCCAUGUUGUUGAUUAUAUGCAUUAUUUACUCCUGCUACAUCCUGGGCUACACAGCACUUAUAGGAAUCUGUACCUACCUGAUCUUUUUACCUGUACAGUUCUACAUUGGCCUGCUGAUCAGAGUGUUUCGGAAACUGUCCGUGUCUGUCACUGACAGGCGUGUUCGCACCAUGAACGAGGUUCUGACCUGCAUCAAGCUUAUCAAGAUGUACGCAUGGGAGGAGUCUUUUGAGAAGACCAUCACAGAGAUCAGGAAGAACGAGAAGCAGCUGUUGGAGAAGGCAGGAUAUAUUCAGAGCUGGAACUCAUCAUUAACAACAAUCGUUCCGUCUCUAGCCACCAUCCUCACCUUCAUCGCUCACUCGGCGUUCAAAUUUCCUCUGGAACCGUCCACAGCCUACACGAUCAUAGCGGUGUUUAACUCCAUGAGGAUGACGUUGGGUCUGCUGCCUUUCUCCGUUAAAUCGAUGGCUGAAGCUAAAGUGGCUUUGACUCGACUGAAGAGGCUCCUCAUGAUCGAGAAUCCCGAAUCAUAUCUGGUCCAGAACAAAGACCUGGACGCCGCAUUAGUGAUGAACAAAGCUUCGUUUUCCUGGAGCAAUCCCAACCACGCCACCUCAGAGAAGAACGAAAGUCAGGUCACCGCAGCUAACGGGGUAAAAGGAAGUAAAGAGAAGCCUGUGAAAUCCGCUCAGAACGGCGUGCACACAUCAGAGCCCAAACCUACACUUAGGAACAUCACGUUCAACCUGCCCAAGGGGAAUUUGCUCGGGGUUUGCGGCAACGUUGGAAGUGGAAAAACUUCACUGAUAUCAAGCAUUCUCGAACAGAUGCACCUUCUGAGUGGAUCCGUCUCAGCGAACGGAACGUUAGCCUACGUCUCUCAACAAGCCUGGAUCUUUCAUGGAACUGUACGUGAUAAUAUUCUGAUGGGAGAAACUUUUGAUCGAAAGAGGUAUGAUCAUGUCGUCCACGUCUGCAGUCUGAAGCCAGAUCUUGCUAUUCUACCUUAUGGUGAUCAGACUGAGAUCGGAGAGCGUGGUCUGAACCUAUCGGGUGGUCAGAAGCAGAGGGUCAGCCUAGCCAGAGCCAUCUACUCUAACAGGGACAUCUACCUGUUGGACGAUCCUCUGUCUGCAGUUGAUGCCCACGUGGGCAAGCACAUUUUUGAACAAUGCAUCAAAAAAGAGCUGAGGGGCAAGACGGUGAUCCUGGUUACACAUCAGCUACAGUAUCUGGAGUUCUGCGAUGAGAUCCUGCUGCUGGAAAACGGGAAGAUUAAAGAAGCUGGAACACACGGAGCUUUGAUGGAAGCCAGCGGUCGAUACGCUCAUCUCAUCAACAGCUUCCAGCUGAAACAGAGCGAUCACCAGGCGGAGGAGGCACCGAAAAUUCCAGCUGAAUCCAACCGGCACAUCAAGCAGGAGCUGGAAAAGUCGAAAUCCAACGGAGUUGUGAACGCAGCCUUUGACAUGUCUGAUGAGAAGGUUAAACCAGAAAGUGCGUCAGCAGAACCGAAGGAAACGAAAGAGGGAAAAGACCAGCUGGUACAGAAGGAGAUGUCUCAGGAAGGAGCCGUCAAUUUAGGGACCUACCACCAAUACUGUGUUGCUGCUGGAGGCUACUUCCUUUUGUUCUUCAUCCUGUUGAUCUUUUUCCUGUUGGUGGGAUGCACUGCCUUCUGCAACUGGUGGCUCAGUCACUGGCUAGAUCAAGGAUCUGGGCUGUUGAAUGCAUCAUACCCCAACACGGGCAACAUAUCCGACAAUCCUGACCUGUGGUUCUAUCAGAUGAUCUACGGCAUGAUUAUAGUGGUGAUGGUCGUGCUGAGCGCUGUGAAGGGCUUCGCGUUCACUAAAGUCACACUGCACGCCUCGUCCAAACUCCACGACACCAUGUUCAAGAGGAUCCUGGCCAGUCCAAUGAGCUUCUUCGACACGACUCCUACGGGCCGAAUGGUGAACCGCUUCAGCAAAGACCAGGAUGAGAUCGACACCGCGCUGCCCUUCAACAUGGAGAACUUCCUGCAGUUUUGCCUGAUAGUCUUCUUCACUCUCCUGACCGUGUGCAUCGUCUUUCCCUACCUGCUCGUAGUCGUGGUUGUCCUGGGUUUCCUCUUUGCCGCCAUCCUUUAUGUUUUCCAGAGAAGCAUUCGAGAGAUGAAGCGGAUGGAGAACGUGAGUCGCUCUCCCUGCAUCUCGCUCACCACCUCCGUCAUCCAGGGUCUCAGCACCAUCCACGCCUACGACAAGAGAACGCAGUAUAUAGAACAUUUUAAAGCCAUAAGUGACAACAACUCCAAUCACUUCCUGUUGUUUAACUGUGGAACACGUUGGUUGUCUUUCUGGUUGGACUUCUUGUCUGCUUUGGUUGCUCUGACAGUGGCGCUGUUUGUAGCGCUCAGCCCCAACGAUGUUAUUAACCCUGCGCUCAAGGGUCUGGCCCUGUCCUAUACUAUACAGUUGACGGGGAUUCUGCAGUUCGUGGUGAGACUCUCUACAGAAGUGGAUGCCAAGUUCACCUCAGUGGAGAGACUGCAGGAGUACAUCACGGGCUGCGUGUCCGAAGCACCACGCAAAGUGAAAGACGUGAACGUUCCCACUGGCUGGCCACAAGAGGGCGCUAUCACAUUUAAAGACUACAGCAUGAGGUACAGAGAGAACACGCCCAUAGUGCUGGACCGCCUCAGCCUCACAAUCCAACCAAGAGAGAAGCUCGGCAUUGUGGGACGCACAGGCUCAGGUAAAUCGUCUCUGGGCGUGGCCCUGUUUCGCCUGGUGGAGCCGGCGGGUGGCACUAUUCUAAUCGACAGCCUGGACACCAGCACUUUGGGUCUGCAGGACCUGCGCAGCCAGCUGUCCAUCAUCCCCCAGGACCCUGUGCUCUUUAUUGGCACAGUUAGGUAUAAUCUUGACCCGUUUAAUAACUACUCGGAUGAGGAAAUCUGGAUGGCGUUGGAGAAGACGUACAUGAAAGACGCAAUCUCCAGUUUACCUCAGAAGCUGGACUCAGAGGUGGUGGAGAAUGGGGAGAAUUUCUCUGUAGGAGAGAGACAGCUCAUAUGCAUGGCCCGCGCACUGCUCCGUAAUUCCAAAAUCAUCCUGCUGGACGAGGCGACGGCGUCCAUAGACUCGGAGACGGACAGUCUGAUCCAGCACACCAUACGAGACGCCUUCCAGCACUGCACCAUGCUCACCAUAGCGCACCGCAUCAACACCGUGCUGGAAUGCGACCGCAUCCUCGUCAUGGAUAAGGGCAGGGCCGUUGAAUUCGACCGACCUCAGGAUCUCGUACAGAGGCCAGACUCAUUAUUUGCGUCACUACUGACGGCAGCCAACAACGUCAACUCCUGAAACCCGCUGCUCCUGCACUCUGGUUGAACCCCGGUUGCAUCACGUUCCACGCUUCCUGAUGAAACACGCCGUAAACUUCAGCGGGCCCGAGGAGUCCAGACGGCUCGGGGAACGGGAGCCUACAGGAGCCUCGUAGACAGGCGGCGUCCAGCGGCGUCGAUUCGGUUUCAGAUCAGCCCGAUCUGAUUUACAUCUCAUCAGAUACAGAAAUGAGCCGCACAGUCGCAAGAAUUACUGAGAUUUCUGCAUGUGUUACUCAUCCGAGUCAUUAGAACAGAACCACACUGUGUUCUUACAAUAAUAUCCAACAGUUUAGGAACUUACGGAACUUUCUAGGUUGUCUGUGACCGUAUUUUACGAGUGUAUGCAGAAAUCUGAGUAGUUCACACAGUCAGAUGUAUUGUGUGUUUUAAUUAGAACUAACACGUGUAAUUCAUGUCCUGUUCUAUUUUUCUUAAUCUUAGGAUUGCACAUUGUGCUCUAGGUGUGAUCUUUGCAGGACAGAUCAGCAGCAGUACAGAAUAUGUCUCUAUUUGAGGAACACUUGGCUCUUGACAGUAGGGUUGAAAGUUCCUCCAAACCGGACGCUUGGGCGCAAGAAUACACAGGAACUCCGGACAAGGCUGGAGGUAACCAGAUGACCCACAGAAAACCCCAGACAGUGACUGAAGUCGAGAAUCAAACCCAUGUCCUCAGGAGUCAGGUUGCUCUGCAGCACCCACUUCAUUAAUAAUAAAAUAUAAGCACCCUAUCAAGUACUAAAUGUAAGUGUAUGUAAUAAUCUAGACCAGCAGUGUGAAACUCCAGUCCUAAUGUGUCCGGCUUCUGCAGUCAUCAUUAUUUUAAUCAUCUGGUGCGACUUUCUAACUUCUUAUAUCUUCAAAAAAACACACAAGCUUUCUAAAAUCACACGCAGCAUUUCCAGAAAAGUAUGUGAACCCUUUUUUUGUUUUAAUUUGGAGGGUUUUUUGGCUCGCACGAUGCAUUUUUACACCAGCCUGCAGCGGAUUCCUUCAGUGCACCUCGCUCUGCAUUCUUUAAUAUUCGUUUGAAAAAUUUCUUCAUGUAGGUCUGAAUGUGUUGUUCUUUUGAUGACCAGAAGCUGUCGAAAGCCCUGAGGCAUGAUGCUCCCUCCACCGUGCUUCACAGCUGGGAAAAUUGUUCUAUUGACUUGACUUUUUGGCUUUUGUGUCAUAUGUCUAUUAUUAGAAAGCAGUGGUUCUCUCUUCAAUAAACACAAUUUUGUCUGUUUAA
Molecule: RNA transcript, 5757 nt
Organism: Trichomycterus rosablanca
Lineage: Eukaryota; Metazoa; Chordata; Actinopteri; Siluriformes; Trichomycteridae
Gene: abcc12
Gene name: ATP-binding cassette, sub-family C (CFTR/MRP), member 12
Exons: 35
Source: RefSeq, a predicted model, not a curated record